GGAUUUCAUAGCUCAGAAAGUAGGACCGCCAGUCUCACAAACUGGAGGUCAAGAGUUCGAUUCCCUCUAAAACCA
Potamilus streckersoni is the source of this 75-nucleotide non-coding RNA. The record is from the annotation of a GenBank genome assembly. Lineage: Eukaryota; Metazoa; Mollusca; Bivalvia; Unionida; Unionidae.